GAUGAACGCUGGCGGCGUGCCUAAUACAUGCAAGUCGAGCGAACAGACGAGGAGCUUGCUCCUUUGACGUUAGCGGCGGACGGGUGAGUAACACGUAGGUAACCUACCUAUAAGACUGGGAUAACUUCGGGAAACCGGAGCUAAUACCGGAUAAUAUUUCGAACCGCAUGGUUCGAUAGUGAAAGAUGGCUUUGCUAUCACUUAUAGAUGGACCUGCGCCGUAUUAGCUAGUUGGUAAGGUAACGGCUUACCAAGGCAACGAUACGUAGCCGACCUGAGAGGGUGAUCGGCCACGCUGGAACUGAGACACGGUCCAGACUCCUACGGGAGGCAGCAGUAGGGAAUCUUCCGCAAUGGGCGAAAGCCUGACGGAGCAACGCCGCGUGAGUGAUGAAGGUCUUCGGAUCGUAAAACUCUGUUAUUAGGGAAGAACAAACGUGUAAGUAACUGUGCACGUCUUGACGGUACCUAAUCAGAAAGCCACGGCUAACUACGUG
This 497-nucleotide ribosomal RNA is filed under the name uncultured bacterium. RNAcentral describes it as "partial 16S ribosomal RNA". It matches the Rfam family "Bacterial small subunit ribosomal RNA", at positions 28 to 507 of the family's 1533-position model. The record is from RNAcentral.